RNAcentral lists this long non-coding RNA (2843 nucleotides) under Triticum aestivum (bread wheat). RNAcentral's name for it is "long non-coding RNA (TAES_LNC016320)". The record is from RNAcentral. Lineage: Eukaryota; Viridiplantae; Streptophyta; Magnoliopsida; Poales; Poaceae.
AAAACAUGAUGAUGAUUGUGUAGUAAGUGCAGAUAUCAACUGUGUACCAGGAAAACAAUCUAACGAUAGCUCACACUUCAUUCAGGACCAACAUAAAAGGCAUAACGGGAGUCUGUCAUAUGCCCAUCCACCACAGCAAGUUGUGACUUUCUGAAAGAUAUGGGAACAAAAAAAGAUAUUAUUUUCUCUCAUGGUCUCACCCCUUCCUUUCUUUGAUGCUAUAUAUUUGGCUUCGUAGUUCACUCAAACUUCCCUUAUAUUAGCUGCAUAAUGGAAAGAUCACAUCUCCAAAUUAGUGAAACGAUUUUUGGUCUGGUACAAAUGACCGUAACCCUCGAGAAAGUUAUUGCCUUGUGACCAUGAGGGCACAGGUUCAAGUCCUAGAAAUAGUCUCUUACAGAUACGUAGGAAAAGACUGCGUACUAUAGACCCAAAGCGGUCGGAUCCUUCCCCAGACCCUGCGCAAGCGGGAGGCCACGUGCACCGGGCUUCCCUUUUACAAAUGACCAUAACCCUCGAGAAACGAUCUAAAAUACCAUGAGGUAGAUGAGUCAUGAAAGCGAAAAAGACGUCGUCAAACUUUUCCAUCUCCUUUGCAUUCUGGGCCUGGUCUCUUUAAACUUCAAGCACUGCAUGUAAAUAUAGCCAGCAAAGCAUGAGUUCUUUACUUCAAUCAAAGUCUAAGCUACCCCGCAAAAAAAUCAAAGUCUAAGCUAUAUGCAGCAGACAUAAGGUCAGUCAGAAGUUAAUGAAGGACACCACAUAGUACUAUUCACAGCUGGCAAGCAAAAUAUUGCUUGCAUUUUUAUAUCAUAAAGAUCAGAGACUUAUUCGAAGAGUCGUAAUUAUCAGUCGAUCGAAGUUCAAGAUCAAAAGUGAUUAAAAAUUAUAACAAGACGUGUCUUGGCAAAUCAGUGAUAUGUUCGCGCUAUAAAACUUUUGUAGAUGCUUGUCGGAAUGAACAAACAAAUGGGGAGAGGGAAACUCAAGAUUCUGCACAUGAUAACUGUGAAGGGUCCUAGUGUACCACAUAUGCUACAACAGCAUAUCUAAAUAUCAUUGGCACGAGUGUUUCACAUAUAGUAUAGCAUGCUUAACUUACUAUGCAAGAAUGCAAGUACUACUACAUGUUCAUCUGUACUAUUACUAUUGUAUAUAUCCAUGGUACUGCAAAAUACAUGAAUGGAAGCAAGACUAAAAAAUAAAAAUAAUAGUAUAGUAGUUUUUUUCCGAGGGAUUUGGAAGAGCAAUAAGGACCAAUAGAACUUCAUUAUCCUGAUCAGAUGUUGGAGCAGACAUACCAAGUUUUUUAUGUCAAGCUAAAGUAUCCACGUUUUGGUCAUCGCAUAAGUCUACUUGAAAAUUUUAUCUGUCUCAUUUAGUAAGCACAAAUAAGAUUAGCUUGGUAUCUAAGGAUGAGUUUAAUGGUAUGAACACUGUAUCAGAAUCUGAUUCAAGCCGGAAACAAGAUCAUCCUACUCUGCAAUCUCUCUCCUUCAUUUGAGUACCAGUCAAAGAAAUUGGAUAGAACUCACCAACUCCACAUUGAUGCAGGCUAGACUCUUAUGAUGCAUAUGGCCAGUGAAAGACAAUAGAAAGACCCCACCUUUGUAAUAGGUUUCCUGAAAAUAUUCAUCACAUAAAUGAUUACUUCUAGCAAGAUCGAUUCCCUGAUUAUUUGAAUAUAAGAGAACUGGCAGCCAAUUUACAAUCGGUAUGGAUAUUACUUUGAGCUUCGGUUCAUACAUUAAUACAUUAUGCACAGUUUGGAUGCAACCAAUGUGUAGCAGGAAGCAGCCAUUAUUGAAGAAUCAUUUAGCAUGUUAAAAGGCAUACAAUUGAAAAAGUAGUGUGUGUAUGUGUGUGUCCAAGAAAAUCAAGCAUUUCAACCAAGUACUAAAUGCAAAUAUUUGCUUAGCGUAAAAUUUGACAUGGUCAAACCAUAAUUAUUUUAGUCUGCCAGGCAAUCUCUGUGUGCAGUAAUCUCUUUUUUUUUUUGCUAAUGUGGGUGCAGUAAUCUUCACGCAUACUUUGUAACCAAGUUAUUAAUUGAUAAUGAGAAGGAAGAACUACUUAUUGGCAUGAAACAUAAUAAAAUUAGACAAAAUCCUGCUUACAUGGGUUGUUUGUAUAUUUUCAUGGCUUCUGUGAGAACAGAUAAUGUCAAAAGUAUGUGGGCCAAAUAUUUAUUUGAAACAUAGACAAUAUAUACCUAGAAUUUUGCCGUACAUUUAAAUAUUCUAGAGAUUACCAGCGAAGCACCAAAUUAAACAAUGAAAUAUUUCUAUGAAAGUCUAUACUUAUCUUUUAUUUGCUCUUGCAAAGCUAACUUGGUUGAACAGAGAAUUACAUAGUAUAGAGAAUAUAUAUGCUGAAGAAACCAUGAACAUUUUGCGGCCAUGGAGUUCAGUCUGGAUGUAAAUUAUUCUCUUAUGAUAUCCAUAGUAAUCAGUGAUCACCAGGCUGUGUACUUUAUUAAGUCAAUGCAUCGGGUGAAACACUAAGCAUUGCUAUGCCUAUGAAAUGUAUUUCCAUGCCUGAAGGGCAGAAGCUGCAGGGCAUUAGCUGAUCUGCAGUAGAUGGUUACCAAAUAAUGCACAGAAGGACAAUCUCUGCAGAAAUGAUCAAUGGAAAACCCAGAAUUCUCCGAGUCUGAAGGCCACACAUCUUCCUCAAAUCACGUAGUGAAAAGUCACAUGCAAGAGCAAGUAUUCCUAAUCCAGUCAAUAGAAGGAUAAUUAAUUUCACAAGCCCAAUUAGCAUUAUAGCUCACAAGCUGGGACAACAGUGGUCGCAGCACUUCCAUAUUCUGGCACAUAGCAUCCAAACCUCAGCCCGCACCC